GCGAAGCCUGAUGGAGCAACGCCGCGUGAGUGAAGAAGGUUUUCGGAUCGUAAAACUCUGUUGUAAGGGAAGAACAAGUACAGUAGUAACUGGCUGUACCUUGACGGUACCUUAUUAGAAAGCCACGGCUAACUACGUGCCAGCAGCCGCGGUAAUACGUAGGUGGCAAGCGUUGUCCGGAAUUAUUGGGCGUAAAGCGCGCGCAGGCGGUCCUUUAAGUCUGAUGUGAAAGCCCACGGCUCAACCGUGGAGGGUCAUUGGAAACUGGGGGACUUGAGUGCAGAAGAGGAAAGUGGAAUUCCAAGUGUAGCGGUGAAAUGCGUAGAGAUUUGGAGGAACACCAGUGGCGAAGGCGACUUUCUGGUCUGUAACUGACGCUGAGGCGCGAAAGCGUGGGGAGCAAACAGGAUUAGAUACCCUGGUAGUCCACGCCGUAAACGAUGAGUGCUAAGUGUUAGGGGGUUUCCGCCCCUUAGUGCUGCAGCUAACGCAUUAAGCACUCCGCCUGGGGAGUACGGUCGCAAGACUGAAACUCAAAGGAAUUGACGGGGGCCCGCACAAGCGGUGGAGC
RNAcentral lists this ribosomal RNA (571 nucleotides) under Bacillus sp. MN39. RNAcentral's name for it is "bacterial SSU rRNA". It matches the Rfam family "Bacterial small subunit ribosomal RNA", at positions 375 to 938 of the family's 1533-position model. The record is from RNAcentral. Lineage: Bacteria; Bacillati; Bacillota; Bacilli; Caryophanales; Bacillaceae.